AGAGGGGAUGGUCAAUGAGUUCGAUCUCCAUUGGCCAAUGAUUUAGUCAAGUGGGCCUACAUAAUGAAGUGGUCUUAAAAGCCCAGGAGGCCUGGGUUCAGAGAACUUCCCGGGGAAGACGGAGGCCUUGGAAGGGUGUUGCUCCUGGAGAGGACAGGGAUGCUUCCCCCACCCACCCUCCACCCCUGUCUUUUCUGGCAGUCUGAAAGAAAUACAAGGAAAAAGACAAAAAUUGCAGCUUGAGGGAAUGAAGCUAGGAAUGAAGAAAAGAUCCCUGACAGUAUGGUGAUGUUCCUUGGACGCUGGAAUUGAUUACCAAGUAUUUGAUCAGACUGAAGUUUUGCCUAAAGGUGAUCUUAUCGAUAAACCACCUGAGAGGACAUUGUUGCUGUCCAACAAGGCUGGCUGAUGCCACUGAGGAUGUGAGGCAGUGUGGAAGGAGACCCCAGACACCCAGCCCAAAUUGCCCACUUGCAG
Non-coding RNA from Odocoileus virginianus texanus, 477 nucleotides. The record is from RefSeq and is a predicted model, not a curated record. NCBI's taxonomy places the organism in Eukaryota, Metazoa, Chordata, Mammalia, Artiodactyla, Cervidae.